RNAcentral lists this ribosomal RNA (427 nucleotides) under uncultured bacterium. Its description in RNAcentral is "partial 16S ribosomal RNA". It matches the Rfam family "Bacterial small subunit ribosomal RNA", at positions 355 to 774 of the family's 1533-position model. The record is from RNAcentral.
UGGGGAAUAUUGGACAAUGGGCGAAAGCCUGAUCCAGCCAUGUCGCGUGUGUGAAGAAGGUCUUCGGAUUGUAAAGCACUUUAAGUUGGGAGGAAGGGCAGUAAGUUAAUACCUUGCUGCUUUGACGUUACCGACAGAAUAAGCACCGGCUAACUCUGUGCCAGCAGCCGCGGUAAUACAGAGGGUGCAAGCGUUAAUCGGAAUUACUGGGCGUAAAGCGCGCGUAGGUGGUUUGUUAAGUUGGAUGUGAAAGCCCCGGGCUCAACCUGGGAACUGCAUCCAAAACUGGCAAGCUAGAGUACGGUAGAGGGUGGUGGAAUUUCCUGUGUAGCGGUGAAAUGCGUAGAUAUAGGAAGGAACACCAGUGGCGAAGGCGACCACCUGGACUGAUACUGACACUGAGGUGCGAAAGCGUGGGGAGCAAACA